UUCCUUGUCGGGUAAGUUCCGACCUGCACGAAUGGUGUAACGAUCUGGGCACUGUCUCGGCCAUGAGCUCGGUGAAAUUGUAGUAGCGGUGAAGAUGCCGCUUACUCGCAACGGGACGGAAAGACCCCGUGAACCUUUACUAUAGCUUCACAUUGGUAUUGGGUAAAUGAUGUGUAGGAUAGGCGGGAGACUUUGAAGCAGUGUCGCUAGGCAUUGUGGAGUCGUUGGUGAAAUACCGCCCUUUAUUUAUCUGAUGCCUAAUCCGGAGACGGAGACAGUGUGUGGUGGGUAGUUUGACUGGGG
This 303-nucleotide ribosomal RNA is filed under the name Licmophora paradoxa. Its description in RNAcentral is "partial Bacterial large subunit ribosomal RNA". It matches the Rfam family "Bacterial large subunit ribosomal RNA", at positions 1965 to 2279 of the family's 2925-position model. The record is from RNAcentral. Lineage: Eukaryota; Bacillariophyta; Fragilariophyceae; Licmophorales; Licmophoraceae.